Non-coding RNA from Neolamprologus brichardi, 321 nucleotides. NCBI's taxonomy places the organism in Eukaryota, Metazoa, Chordata, Actinopteri, Cichliformes, Cichlidae. The record is from the annotation of a RefSeq genome assembly.
AUGUCCUCUGUGGCUCUGCUGCUCCUGCUGGCUGCUGGAUCCUGUGUGAAGUGUGAACAGCUGACACAGCCAGAGUUUGUGACUGUGCAGCCAGGUCAGCAUCUGACCAUCACCUGUCAGGUCUCUUAUUCUCUUAGCAGCUAUUGGACAGGACUGGAGUGGAUUGGGGUGAAAUACACUGGGGACUCUCGCUAUAAAGAUUCACUAAAGAGCAAGUUCAGCAUUGACUUGGACACUUCAAGCAAGACAGUGACUCUAAAUGGACAAAAUAUAGAGCCUGAAGACACUGCUGUGUAUUACUGUGCCAGAGAGUCACAGUAA